UACGUAGGCAGCGAGCGUUGUUCGGAGUUACUGGGCGUAAAGGGUGUGUAGGCGGUUGUUUUAGUUUGGUGUGAAAUCUCCCGGCUCAACUGGGAGGGUGCGCCGAAUACUGAAUGACUUCGAGUGCGGGAGAGGAAAGUGGAAUUCCUGGUGUAGCGGUGAAAUGCGUAGAUAUCAGGAGGAACACCGGUGGUGUAGACGGCUUUCUGGACCGUAACUGACGCUGAGACACGAAAGCGUGGGUAGCAAACAGG
RNAcentral lists this ribosomal RNA (254 nucleotides) under uncultured bacterium. Its description in RNAcentral is "partial 16S ribosomal RNA". It matches the Rfam family "Bacterial small subunit ribosomal RNA", at positions 524 to 776 of the family's 1533-position model. The record is from RNAcentral.